Long non-coding RNA from Daktulosphaira vitifoliae (grape phylloxera), 1307 nucleotides. RefSeq lists it as uncharacterized. The transcript has 4 exons. Lineage: Eukaryota; Metazoa; Arthropoda; Insecta; Hemiptera; Phylloxeridae. The record is from RefSeq and is a predicted model, not a curated record.
UCUGUGGAAACAUGGCGGUGGCGGGUGCAAACCCAUUGUACGCGGAUAGGCGAUACCUGAGGGUGUCGUCCUGGUCUAAGGCAAACAAAGGGCCGUGUACGUCGAAAAACGAGUUUCACCUUUUGCAACUUUCACUUUAUUAUUUAUUGGCUUGUUUGAUUCCGUACCGUUGACAGUAGUCGCCGUCCCUGCGUAUCUCACGUACGGCAGUGUUCGUUGAACGCGCAUUUCGUCCGGUACAUCCGCACCAGAAACACCGUCAGCGCCGCAGAAACUUCUUUUUUCGAUUCCGAGAAAAAAUUUCUUGAAAUACAAACUUCAGAUGAAGAAUAUUUCCGUCUGGCCUAGUUUUCAUAGCUACGGAAAUUCAUAUCUAUGAACUGAAUUCUUAUAAAAAAAAAAGAACUGCAAAUUUUGAAAUUUGAAAAUGAGACAUAAUACUUACAAUUUUUAGAAAUUUUAAAACGAGUGAAAAAAGAAACUGCCUUCUACACCACUGCUGUUGGUCGCUGAACCGGACAACGAUUCACGGGAGGGGCGGAAAACAUUACACCAAUGGUCAUAACCCGACUGCGGUCACCGCAAGUGCCCCGUCAACCAACAUCCGGAUAAGUGAUCAUAUUGAAAUUAGUUACAAGUUCACAUGCGUCAAAUACCUCUACUAGACGUCUCAUUCAUUGGGCUGGUCAGGUGAAACGAUGUAAAUUUGGUUUGAACUCAUUUCGACGGCAAGGUCAGAUAAGAACUGCGUAUGAAUUAUUAUUUUCGUACCGAGUCUGAGCAGUCUUAACGACACUCGAAAAAAUGGAAUGAACUUAGCAAAUGAAAGACUAUGUAGAGCCAUCGAAAACUGAUACCAUUAUUUUAAUUAAUAUAAUAUUAAAUGAACAUGAUAUUUUUUAGUUAAAUGUUUUUUUUUUUUUUAAUUAUUAUGUUUAAUAAAUAAUUAUUGUAAGCUGGAAUGGUAAUAAAUGUACUGUGUUGUGCCCAAUGAUUUAUAUGUUUUGUAGAUAAUUAUAAAAUGCGUUACAUAAUUUGUUAAUAGAAAGGUUUUUUCUCUGAUAACACAUUAAGAAAAUUCGAGAAUGUUGUUUAAUAUUUAAUAUAUUAUUUAAUGCUUUAGUCCUACCAUGUGCGUUUUUUAAAUUAUGUUAAAUCGAUUUUUUACAAAUUCUGUAUCAAAAAAUACCUAAUUACCAAUCCAGCAAUGAGUUAUUAUGAAUAACAAAAUCUUUUUUAUUAUUUGUUUAAAAAUUUAAUGAGCUCAUUAAAAAAAUCUAUAUACAAGCAGGAAUCCAAUGAUUGAA